Molecule: unclassified non-coding RNA, 335 nt
Filed under: soil metagenome
Description: partial contains 5.8S ribosomal RNA, internal transcribed spacer 2, and large subunit ribosomal RNA
Rfam family: 5.8S ribosomal RNA (bases 1-120)
Source: RNAcentral
GAUGAAGAACGCAGCGAAAUGCGAUAAGUAAUGUGAAUUGCAGAAUUCAGUGAAUCAUCGAAUCUUUGAACGCACAUUGCGCCCGGUAGUAUUCUGCCGGGCAUGCCUGUUCGAGCGUCAUUUCAACCAUCAAGCCCCCGGCUUGUGUUGGGGACCUGCGGCUGCCGCAGGCCCUGAAAACCAGUGGCGGGCUCGCUAGUCACUCCGAGCGUAGUAAUACAUCUCGCUCAGGGCGUGCUGCGGGUUCCGGCCGUUAAAAAGCCUUAUUUACCCAAGGUUGACCUCGGAUCAGGUAGGAAGACCCGCUGAACUUAAGCAUAUCAAUAAGCGGAGGA